Molecule: non-coding RNA, 71 nt
Organism: Sarcophilus harrisii (Tasmanian devil)
Lineage: Eukaryota; Metazoa; Chordata; Mammalia; Dasyuromorphia; Dasyuridae
Source: Rfam
UAGGGUGUGGUGUAAAGGGAACACAAAGGGUUUUGAGUUCUUUUGUAUAGUUUUGAGUCCUAUUAUCCUAG